This 1953-nucleotide ribosomal RNA is filed under the name Triticum aestivum (bread wheat). RNAcentral's name for it is "partial small subunit ribosomal RNA". Lineage: Eukaryota; Viridiplantae; Streptophyta; Magnoliopsida; Poales; Poaceae. The record is from RNAcentral.
AUGGUCGCGGCCCCGGCCAAGGUUGGCGCCACCAUGCCGUCGCUCAACAUCGACACCACCAUGUUCAACAAGGAGAAGGUCUCCAUCGUCGGCCACGAGGAGUACAUCGUGAGGGGCGGGCAGAACUACUUCCUGAGGUGUUCAAGGGCGUCAAGAAGAUCGGAGUCAUCGGACAGGGCUCCCAAGUUCAGUCCCAGCUUCACUUUGUUCCCCUCACAAUACAGUUUGUUCCCUCACUCUCGAGAUUUAAAUGUCUCUCUACUAGAGACACUGCUUGAAUAUAAACAUCAGUCGAGUCUAUAUGUCUGUGCACUGGCUCACGGAAUAUUUUUGGAGUGCUUUCUCAAGGCCCAGAACCUGAAAGAUUAUUUGGUUCAAGCCAAGUCUGAGAUCAUCGUUAAAGUUUGUUAUUCUCAUUUGGUCAAUAAGCUGUCCUUUUGCUUUCAGAUUGGUCUCAGGAAAGGCAGACAACUAUGGGAAAUUUGCAACCACGUGGAACCAAAUAGUAUUAUUGUUUUAUCUCAUGGAUUUCUUCUUGGACAUUUGAAAUCACAUGGCCUUGAUUUUCCAAAGAACAUCAGUGUGGUUGUUGUAUGCCCAAAAAGAAUGGGCCCAUCGGUUCGAAGACUGUAUAUUCAGGGCAAAGAAAUAAAUGGUGCUGGCAUCAACGCUAGCUUUGUUGUUCGAUCACCAUGUAUGGAUGUUGAUGGAAGGGCAACUGAUGUUGCUCUUGGAUGGUCGGUUGCACUAGGAUCCCCGUUCACCUUUGCUACUACUCUAGAACAGGAGUGCAAGAGUGAUAUCUCUGGGGAAAGAGUGGGUGAGCGCAACAUGACCCUUGUUGCAAUUGUCCGUGACCGAGUUCGGCGCAGAGGAGCCAACAACAGAGAGGAUUUAUUGUGGUCACAACAUGUUGCUUCUGAAAGUGAAAUCAGGAGUGUUGUGUUGGCUGGUCGAAGGCAAGUUGAAGGUGUCCACAACAUGAUCCGUGUUGCAAUGGACUUCAAAAGGUCUUUUUCGCAAAAUGUUGAAAGCAUUCCGGGAGCUCGUAUCAUGGGAGCAUCUAAGGCUCCGUAUCACCUGAUACUCUCCCCCCAUCCUGCAAUUGUCCGUGACCAAGUCCGGUGCAGAGGAGCCAACAACAGAGGUCGCCGCACCCCAAAUCCACAGGGCCAUCCCCAUCCAGAUCCAGGCGUCGAUGCUGCGCCGCCAGCCCACCCGCAUCGACCUCCGCAGCUCCGACCGCGACGAGCUCGAGGAGCACCUCCGCUCCAAGGCCGCCGCCGCCGCCGCCGCCGAAUCCACGCCCCUCUUGACCCCGCGCCCAUCAAGCUCCGGCUCCCGGACGCGGCCGCGCACGGGCGCCUCUCCACCUUCCUCGCGCCCCGCCUGCUCCGCACCGACGCCCAGCGCAACGUCUUCUUCGACGCCGCCGCGCGGCCCCUCGCCGCCGCCACCGCCGCGCUCCGCGUCCGCCUCUACGGCCCCGACGACCGCGCCCCCUCCCGCGCCGUGCUCGCGCUCAAGCGCCGCCCGCGCAUCCACGCCGGCGUCAGCCGCGUCGAGGAGAUCGAAGAGCUCCUCGACCCGGCCCUCGCCCUCGCAUGCGUCGACGACCCCGCCCGCCUCGGCGCCGUCGACUCCCCCAUCGUCCGGCUCGUCUCCGACGAGUACGGCGUCGGCGGGGACAAAGCGCCGUUCGUCUGCCUCGGCGGCUUCCGGAACACGCGCGGCGUGUAUGAGCUCGGGGAGGGCGAGGGGCAGGGGCUCGUGCUGGAGCUCGACGAGACGCACUUCGAUUUCGGGACCAACUACGAGCUCGAGUGCGAGACCGCGGAGCCAGACCAGGCCAAGGAGGUCCUCGAGCGGCUGCUCACGGUGGCUGGGGUGCCGUAUGAGUACUCCCGGAGCAAUAAGUUCGCGUCCUUCAUGGCCGGGAAGCUGCUUCCAUGA